GCUCUAACCUGGUAAACGCGCAAGGCGUGUAUACAAAUGUUAGGGCUAUCUAGGAUUUUGAGUAUGUAUCAACAUAA
RNAcentral lists this transfer RNA (77 nucleotides) under Shewanella piezotolerans WP3. Its description in RNAcentral is "tRNA-Pro". Lineage: Bacteria; Pseudomonadati; Pseudomonadota; Gammaproteobacteria; Alteromonadales; Shewanellaceae. The record is from RNAcentral.